Molecule: regulatory RNA element, 320 nt
Rfam family: Alphacoronavirus 5'UTR
About the family: The 5' UTR has been predicted to contain 3 conserved stem-loops: SL1, SL2 and SL4.
Source: Rfam
ACUUAAGUACCUUAUCUAUCUACAGAUAGAAAAGUUGCUUUUUAGACUUUGUGUCUACUUUUCUCAACUAAACGAAAUUUUUGCUAUGGCCGGCAUCUUUGAUGCUGGAGUCGUAGUGUAAUUGAAAUUUCAUUUGGGUUGCAACAGUUUGGAAGCAAGUGCUGUGUGUCCUAGUCUAAGGGUUUCGUGUUCCGUCACGAGAUUCCAUUCUACAAACGCCUUACUCGAGGUUCCGUCUCGUGUUUGUGUGGAAGCAAAGUUCUGUCUUUGUGGAAACCAGUAACUGUUCCUAAUGGCCUGCAACCGUGUGACACUUGCCG